Molecule: ribosomal RNA, 254 nt
Filed under: uncultured bacterium
Lineage: Bacteria
Description: partial 16S ribosomal RNA
Rfam family: Bacterial small subunit ribosomal RNA
Source: RNAcentral
CACGUAGGGUGCGAGCGUUGUCCGGAAUUAUUGGGCGUAAAGAGCUCGUAGGCGGUGUGUCGCGUCGGCCGUGAAAACUUGCAGCUUAACUGUGGGCGUGCGGUCGAUACGGGCAUCACUGGAGUUCGGCAGGGGAGACUGGAAUUCCUGGUGUAGCGGUGAAAUGCGCAGAUAUCAGGAGGAACACCGGUGGCGAAGGCGGGUCUCUGGGCCGAUACUGACGCUGAGGAGCGAAGGCGUGGGGAGCGAACAGG